UAGGAGUACCUCUCCAGUAAGGCUCCAACCUCCUCUUCUUGCUCUGAUUUUCUCUUUUAGCUAACCCUAAAUCACCAAUCUUUGCCCUAAAUUCAGCACCACUACCCUCGCUUGAAUUCGGCACGAGCAACACAUUAUCAGGUUUCAUAUCACAAUGAACAUAACCAAUCGUGUGAAUAAAACGCAACCCUCUAAGCAUAGAUCUUGUAUAAUCACUACCGUCGCUUGAAUUCGGCACGAGCAACACAUUAUCUGGUUUCAUAUCACAAUGAACAUAACCAAUUGUAUGAAUAAAAUGCAACCCUCUAAGCAUAGAUCUUGUAUAAUUCCUUACCUCAAAUUC
This 343-nucleotide long non-coding RNA is filed under the name Nicotiana benthamiana. Its description in RNAcentral is "long non-coding RNA (NBEN_LNC003619)". Lineage: Eukaryota; Viridiplantae; Streptophyta; Magnoliopsida; Solanales; Solanaceae. The record is from RNAcentral.